Molecule: non-coding RNA, 114 nt
Filed under: Abiotrophia defectiva ATCC 49176
Lineage: Bacteria; Bacillati; Bacillota; Bacilli; Lactobacillales; Aerococcaceae
Description: Bacterial large subunit ribosomal RNA
Rfam family: Bacterial large subunit ribosomal RNA
Source: Rfam by way of RNAcentral
CCGAAGAAGGACGUGACGAACGACGAAAUGCUUUGGGGAGCUGUAAGUGAGCUAAGAUCCAGAGAUAUCCGAAUGGGGGAACCCGGCUAGCGUAAUGGCUAGUCACACCUAAGG